GAGAAAGCGUGAAGAGCAGAAACUCACGCUGUUGCCUCACAGUCAAUACUUUUCAGCGGAUUCUUCUUUCCGUAUAAACUGAUAGGAUUGCAAGACAAAAGGGAUUAAGUGCCCCUUGCUCCAACAGCAUCUUAUAACGAAAAA
Molecule: non-coding RNA, 144 nt
Organism: Caenorhabditis elegans
Lineage: Eukaryota; Metazoa; Nematoda; Chromadorea; Rhabditida; Rhabditidae
Source: Ensembl